GCUGGGUGCAGUGGCGCACACCUGUAAUCCCAGGAGCUCAGGAGGCUGAGGCAGGAGGAUGGUGAGUUCAAAGCCAACCUCAGCAACUUAGCAAGGCCUUAAGCAACUCAGUGAGACCCUGUCUCUA
RNAcentral lists this small RNA (127 nucleotides) under Marmota monax (woodchuck). Lineage: Eukaryota; Metazoa; Chordata; Mammalia; Rodentia; Sciuridae. The record is from RNAcentral.